RNAcentral lists this ribosomal RNA (489 nucleotides) under uncultured bacterium. RNAcentral's name for it is "partial 16S ribosomal RNA". It matches the Rfam family "Bacterial small subunit ribosomal RNA", at positions 28 to 507 of the family's 1533-position model. The record is from RNAcentral.
GACGAACGCUGGCGGCGUGCUUAACACAUGCAAGUCGAACGGAAAGGCCCUGCUUUUGUGGUGUGCUCGAGUGGCGAACGGGUGAGUAACACGUGAGUAACCUGCCCUUGACUUUGGGAUAACUUCAGGAAACUAGGGCUAAUUCCUGAUAGGAACUCCUGCUGCAUGGUGUGGGGGGGAGAGUUUCGGCGGUUGGUGUUUGUCUCGCGGCUGAGCAGCUUGUUGGUGGGGUAGUGGCGCACCAAGGCGAUGAUGGGUAGCCGGCCGGAGAGGAUGAACGGCCACAUUGGGACGGAGACACGGCCCAGACUCCUACGGGAGGCAGCAGUGGGGAAUCUGCCGCAAUGGACGAAAGUCGGACGGAGCAACGCCGCGUGAGUGAGGACGGCCUGCGGGUUGUAAAGCUCUGUUAAUCGGGACGAAAGGCCUUCUUGCGAAUAGUUAGAAGGAUUGACGGUACCGGAAUAGAAAGCCACGGCUAACUACGUG